CCAAUAGCGUAUAUUAAAGUUGCUGCAGUUAAAAAGCUCGUAGUUGAAUUUCGGGAUCAAUAUGUUGGUCGUGCCUUGGUACGUACUAGCUUAUUGAUUUCUCCCUUCUGACGAACUAUGAUGUCAUUAAUUUGGUGUCAUUGGGAAUCAGAACUGUUACUUUGAAAAAAUUAGAUUGUUUAAAGCAGGCUCACGCUUGAAUACAUUAGCAUGGAAUAAUGAAAUAGGACGUUUGAUUCUAUUUUGUUGGUUUCUAGGAUUGACGUAAUGAUUAAUAGGGAUAGUUGGGGGCAUUAGUAUUCAAUUGUCAGAGGUGAAAUUCUUGGAUUUAUUGAAGACUAACUACUGCGAAAGCAUUUGCAAAGGAUGUUUUCAUUAAUCAAGAACGAAAGUUAGGGGAUCGAAGAUGAUCAGAUACCGUCGUAGUCUUAACCAUAAACUAUGCCGACUAGGGAUCGGAUGAUGUUAAUUUUUAAUGACUCAUUCGGCGCCUUACG
Molecule: ribosomal RNA, 497 nt
Filed under: uncultured Glomeromycotina
Lineage: Eukaryota; Fungi; Glomeromycota
Description: partial small subunit ribosomal RNA
Rfam family: Eukaryotic small subunit ribosomal RNA
Source: RNAcentral